UCUUGAAGCAAGACAAAGAGCUGAGCCUAACCCUGUAUUGUACAUCGCAGCUGUGGGACCCUGGAGGCAGACUAUGCCCAGAGACCCUAUACAUCCUACAUCAUGAGCUCUACAAGGUGGGGAUCGGUGCCUUCCUGACUAUCAGCAAAUGGCUUCCUCUGCUCUGCCUUCCCUUCCCAUGUCUACUCAAGCCUCAAUCAAGAGAAAAAAAGAAGGCAUUUCAUGGCAUCAUAAACAUCGCACUUUAUUUUUCAUCUCACGGAGCCUGUCUGGGUUUGGUUACGCUCGGGAGCUCGACUAGGACUCAGAAGCCAACACACACAUGAAAAAUCGCGUCACUGCCGCCACUAAGGCGCACGAAGGAGCAGACGCGGCUCUUGGCGUCCAUCUGUGUGUGUCCAGUGGUCAUCAAUCACUCCUGGAAUGGGACCUGCGUGGGUGGAGCAGCACUCUAGUCCUCGGUUCAGCUUCCUAGAAUGCCUCUGCGUGCAAAUGACACAUCUUCAGAACUUUAAACCUCAGCCAAUGAAACUUCAACCUAAGAAGAGCCACUUCCCACUUUCUAGGGUUCUAUAUACAGUCCUGAUUCACCCCAAAUUAAGUAUAUGUUUUGUUGACUAU
Mastomys coucha (southern multimammate mouse) is the source of this 621-nucleotide long non-coding RNA. RefSeq lists it as uncharacterized. The record is from RefSeq and is a predicted model, not a curated record. NCBI's taxonomy places the organism in Eukaryota, Metazoa, Chordata, Mammalia, Rodentia, Muridae. The transcript has 4 exons.